Molecule: long non-coding RNA, 219 nt
Filed under: Gossypium barbadense (sea-island cotton)
Lineage: Eukaryota; Viridiplantae; Streptophyta; Magnoliopsida; Malvales; Malvaceae
Description: long non-coding RNA (GBAR_LNC020218)
Source: RNAcentral
GCUAUAUCCCCGUAUUUUUCAAUAAAGACGCCCCUAGUAUCUGAGUGCCACUGCUUCCAAAUCCCAAUCAAGUCUUCAAGAUCAUUCUGACGCACAUUCAAGGUCACACGCUCGGGAAGAUCAGAGGUGUAUCCUUCCUUCAAACUGUCCCCUUUUGCUUUUUGAGUCCUCAAAGACCAAUCUCGGACUACAGCAUUUUUCUCGGUUACUCGUGUAAUU